GUGGGAUAAAGGAUAUACGAGGUCCCAAAAUUGAUUGUAACCAUUCUUCAACUUUGUCAGCUGAGCUAUUUUUCUUGGCAGUUGAUUUUCAUGAAUGGCAUAUUC
Small nucleolar RNA from Corchorus capsularis, 105 nucleotides. It matches the Rfam family "Small nucleolar RNA snoR99". NCBI's taxonomy places the organism in Eukaryota, Viridiplantae, Streptophyta, Magnoliopsida, Malvales, Malvaceae. The record is from Rfam.